This 306-nucleotide unclassified non-coding RNA is filed under the name uncultured Agaricales. RNAcentral's name for it is "sequence contains 5.8S rRNA gene, ITS2, 28S rRNA gene". The stretch from base 1 to 52 matches the Rfam family "5.8S ribosomal RNA", at positions 103 to 154 of the family's 154-position model. The record is from RNAcentral. Lineage: Eukaryota; Fungi; Basidiomycota; Agaricomycetes; Agaricales.
AACGCACCUUGCGCUCCUUGGUAUUCCGAGGAGCAUGCCUGUUUGAGUGUCAUUAAAUUCUCAACCCCUCCAGCUUUUGCAAGUUGUGAUGGGGCUUGGAUGUGGGAGUUUGCGGGUCCUUUAUCAGUAAAGGUCGGCUCUCCUGAAAUACAUUAGCGGAACCGUUUGCAGUCCCGUCACUAGUGUGAUAAUUAUCUACACUGUGAUGAUUGCUCUCUGACUAGUUCAGCUGCUAAUCGUCCACUACGGACAACGUUUAAUGAACUUGUUGACCUCAAAUCAGGUAGGACUACCCGCUGAACUUAA